UACCCAGAACAGGCGGAGCAACAGGCGGAAAGAGCGCGGAGCAAACGGCGGGCGGCCAGCGGAUACCACCGGGGACACCGGGACAGGUGGCACUGGUGGCACCGGUACUGGUGGUACUGGAGUCACCGGUACCGGUUGUACUGGUGUCACUGGUACUGGUGUCACCGGUACUGGUGGUACUGGUGGUACCAGUGUCAGUGGUACCGGUAGCCCUCAUACUGGUGGUACUGGUGUUACUGGUGUUACUGGUGUUACUGGUUCCACCGGUAGCAGAGGCGUCACUGGUGGUCCUGCUGUCACUGGUACCGGUUGUACUGGUGGUACUGGUUGUACUGGUGUUACUGGUGUUACUGGUUUUACUGGUGGUACUGGUGUUACUGGUGGUACUGGUGUUACUGGUGUUACUGGUGGUACUGGUGGUACUGGUUUUACUGGUGGUACCGGUCCAUUUUUCAGCCCCGGGGGUCGCGGUGACGUAAUCGGUGACGUAAUCGGUGACGUCAUCAUCGACGGUGAUGUAAUCGAUGGGGGUUCCAUCGCCUGCGCCCAGGGACACCAGUGAGACCAGUAAGGGCUCCCAGUGAAACCAGUAACGGCUCCCAGUGCUCCCAGUAACCCCCCAGUGAAACCAGUAACCCCCCAGUGAGACCAGUAACCCCGCAGUGAAACCAGUAAGGGCUCCCAGUGAAACCAGUAACGGCUCCCAGUGAGACCAGUAACCCCCCAGUGGUCCCAGUAACCCCAGUCCCUCCCAGUCCCCUCCCAGUCCCUCCCAUUCCCCUCCCAGUCCCUCCCAGUCCAUCCCAGUCCCUCCCAGUUCCCAUUUAACCCUUCCCAGUCCAUCCCAGUCCAUCCCAGUCCAUCCCAGUUUACCCAGGACGUUGACCCUGGCGAUGGCCUCGGGGCUGCAGUUCCCCCAAACGUCC
RNAcentral lists this long non-coding RNA (926 nucleotides) under Cyanistes caeruleus (blue tit). Its description in RNAcentral is "lncRNA (ENSCCEG00000002505.1)". The record is from RNAcentral. Lineage: Eukaryota; Metazoa; Chordata; Aves; Passeriformes; Paridae.